UGCAAGCAUCUUUCAUUCUCAUCAUGCAUUAGUUUGUGUCAAAGCCAGGUUCACAUCAAGCUGGCAUGUGAGGCAGAAAAUGUUGGAGAUAAAUGGAACAAAACUCAUAGAUUACUAAAAGUAUUGAAUAACUCAGAAAACAAGAAAGGCGAUCGAUAAAAUUCAGGUAACAAUCAAACAAAAGCAUUUCGAGACCAAAGUGACAUGGUCAUUAUUUAGUGACAAGUAACUGGCAAAUUGGAUCCACCUAUCUACAAUGUCUAUGCAGACAACAAAUGAGUUUUUUUCAAGCUCAGAUUGGUUCGUUAUUAUAUAUUUGUUGAAGAAAAUAAAUAUAUAGACAAUAACCAGCUACGGGCGUUCACUGUGCUAAGAAAUUGAAAACUGGAUCUCUGUGUAUAUCCUCUUUAGCUACACAAAGUCGUUGGAGAGUAAAACAAAGAGAAUGCUUUGAUGGUCUAAGAUAUAGCAAUGCGGUCUCUAUAAUCUAACCUUCCAAGUAAAACAAGACAAGAAAAAAAGGGUAGAUUGAAUGGGUAACAUAGAUCCAUCACAGAGAAAACUCUGGUUAAAUGGGUUCAGAAAAGGUUAUGCAUGAAAUUUGUCUUUUUAUUGAGAAGUAAUUCAUGAACAAAAAUGUAAAUAUGAUCCUUACAUUCUAUAAAGCUAUACAAUACAGAAUACAGAUCUGGAGGAGCAAAUAAAAUGUAGUUUAGUUACAUUUUUGGUGCAUUGACUGAGACAUAUAAUGCCAAAAGCUUGAUUCUUAAUUCAAUUAAAUACAUCAAUUAACAUUUCUUUGUUUAGCAUUUACAUUAUGAGCUAGAAGGUCCUCUGAGCAGGAGAAGGUUUAGAAAACAAUGCAGAGAUUUUUGUUGAGUUUGCAAAUAUUUUUAAUGACCGAAAUUUUAGUAGGACUAGAAUAGCAUGCAACACACCAUAGGAGAAUAUUUAAAAAUAAAUAACUAAACACACACAAAUUAAGAUAUGAUCCAAAGAAGCAUUAAUAAGAAACAUUCACCAAUAUGAUAACCUAAUUUACCUUUGUACCCCAUUGCCACAAUUGUUGGUUUUCUUCAUGAUCAGAGUUAGGCAAAAUUAGGCUUUCAGUGUAGGUAAUUGCUCUAUAAUUAGAAUAGGCAUCAGGGGUAGAAAUUUCCAGGAAUGUAAAUACUGCAGCCGUAUUUCUAUUUUCCUUUCUUCAUCAUUCUGCUAUCUUAUUAGCUGUUUCCUAUCCUGUCUUAAUUUAAAUUAUUAUGUUUCCUAGUUCAAAAUUUUUGGGUAUCAGACAAAUUCUUGUGGUGUCAACCUUGUAUUCAGCCUCUUAUUUACAAAGCACUGAAAUCUUAUGCAGUUCUGUUAUGACCUUCUUAUGGUUUUCUGCAAACUCCAGCCACUAAUUUACAUUUUCUAAGGUAUGGUGCAAGCAUCUUUCAUUCUCAUCAUGCAUUAGUUUGUGUCAAAGCCAGGUUCACAUCAAGCUGGCAUGUGAGGCAGAAAAUGUUGGAGAUAAAUGGAACAAAACUCAUAGAUUACUAAAAGUAUUGAAUAACUCAGAAAACAAGAAAGGCGAUCGAUAAAAUUCAGGUAACAAUCAAACAAAAGCAUUUCGAGACCAAAGUGACAUGGUCAUUAUUUAGUGACAAGUAACUGGCAAAUUGGAUCCACCUAUCUACAAU
This 1679-nucleotide long non-coding RNA is filed under the name Olea europaea (common olive). Its description in RNAcentral is "long non-coding RNA (OEUR_LNC006414)". The record is from RNAcentral. Lineage: Eukaryota; Viridiplantae; Streptophyta; Magnoliopsida; Lamiales; Oleaceae.